AGUGAACGCUGGCGGUAGGCCUAACACAUGCAAGUCGAACGGCAGCACAGGAGAACUUGCUCUCUGGGUGGCGAGUGGCGGACGGGUGAGGAAUACAUCGGAAUCUACUCUGUCGUGGGGGAUAACGUAGGGAAACUUACGCUAAUACCGCAUACGACCUACGGGUGAAAGCAGGGGAUCUUCGGACCUUGCGCGAUUGAAUGAGCCGAUGUCGGAUUAGCUAGUUGGCGGGGUAAAGGCCCACCAAGGCGACGAUCCGUAGCUGGUCUGAGAGGAUGAUCAGCCACACUGGAACUGAGACACGGUCCAGACUCCUACGGGUGGCAGCAGUGGGGAAUAUUGGACAAUGGGCGCAAGCCUGAUCCAGCCAUACCGCGUGGGUGAAGAAGGCCUUCGGGUUGUAAAGCCCUUUUGUUGGGAAAGAAAUCCAGCUGGCUAAUACCCGGUUGGGAUGACGGUACCCAAAGAAUAAGCACCGGCUAACUUCGUGCCAGCCGCCGCGGUAA
RNAcentral lists this ribosomal RNA (506 nucleotides) under uncultured bacterium. RNAcentral's name for it is "partial 16S ribosomal RNA". It matches the Rfam family "Bacterial small subunit ribosomal RNA", at positions 29 to 523 of the family's 1533-position model. The record is from RNAcentral.